RNAcentral lists this long non-coding RNA (295 nucleotides) under Theobroma cacao (cacao). RNAcentral describes it as "long non-coding RNA (TCAC_LNC006033)". Lineage: Eukaryota; Viridiplantae; Streptophyta; Magnoliopsida; Malvales; Malvaceae. The record is from RNAcentral.
UUGGGCACUGAAUUUGCAACUUCUAACCCCAAUUUCCAGCACAUCUAAACCCUAGGAGAGAGAAAGAAAAAUCUCUCCUUGUUUCUUAUAUUUUCUAUUUCUACUUCACUUUCAACAACACUUAGAUUUUUGGCUUCAAAUCUUCAUUUUCAAGGUUGAAAGGUAUAUAUUUCCAACUUUUGAAAUUUUGGAAUUUAUAGUUAUAUUUUCAGAUUUAUUCUCUAAUUUUUUCAAAUUAUUUUUCUUGAAAAGAUUAGGUUUUUGGUUGAUCUUCAUGCCUCCAAGCUCAUCCAGG